UCCAUAGGAAAAGGUAGGACACGACCAGGGUCGGUCCUCUCGCUCUCCGCUCUCUCCCACGCGAUGCCGGCUGCCGCCGCUGCCCAUGCGAUGUCGCCGCCCCUGCCCACGCGAUGUCGCCGCCCCUGCCCACGCGACGCCGGCCUCCGCCGUUCCUGCCCACGCGACGCCGGCCGCCGCCGCUGCCCACGCGACGCCGGCCUCCGCCGCUCCUGCCCACGCGACGCCGGCCUCCGCCGCUCCUGCCCACGCGACGCCGGCCUCCGCCGCGCGUCCCGAUCUCUCCGUUCGUGAUGCAAUGGAGGGGAAGAAGAAGGUCAGCACACGGAUUUCUUCCCCCAAUUUGCUUGGUCAUCAGCGCAUCAAGGAUUCCAUCAUCUUCAUCCGCCUGCUGCAACCAAGGGCCCACCUGGCAGUGUCCACUGUCCAAUGAUGCUUGGCUCGCGAGCCAGCCCGAGCCAGCCCGAGUUUUGCAGCGAGCUAAAGACUGGUCCGCACCGAGCCCAGCUCGAGCUGGCUCGUGUCCAGCCUUAGGUAUAGGGUAUAUAGGUAUAGGUAUGAAAACUUAUAAUUUUGAAAAUUGUUCCUAUACAAAAUGAGUUACCAUGAAUUGAAGAUGGUUCCUAAAGUUGGUCUUUUGAAUAUAAUUUUAACCUGAUUCUAUACAUGGUCACCACAGCCGGUUUCACGUAGAACUCCGAAAAAAAAGAUAUAUAUGAAAAUAUAAUUUGGACAAGUGUCAAUCUCCAGCGGCCAAUCGGCGAUGUGCUCAAGGCGACUGAGCACGCUCAACCGGGGGUGAAUGCCAUCCCCACCGUCAUUGGUCGAUUUGAUUCCGACUGAACUUGAGCGACCCAAUUGAGUCGGCGAGUUGCUUCUAACAGGGCCAAGCCGAAGGUGUUGAAGAAGAUCGCACCCACGCGGGGGGCAGUGGCAACAAAGGUGGCCGAGGCCAAAAAGGCUGCUGACGCUGAGCUGGCCGAAGCAGCCAAGGCGAAGGAGGACGCUGAAUUGGCGAGGGAGGCCAAAGCUAAGGCGAAAGAGGCCGCCGACGCAGAGUCGGCGAGGGCAGCGGCAGCCAAGGCCAGGGCCAGGGCGAAGGAAGCCACGGAGGCCGAGGCGACAAAGGAGGCCGUGGAGGCCGAUGCGGAGAAGGCUGUCGAGGCAAGGAGAAGAAGGCCGCGGAGCUAGAAGUGUCGAGGACGGCUGCGGCAGAGCAGGAGCGUCUGGCCGCCAAGGGCGCGAAGUCCGGUGCUGCAGCUCUGGAGCAGAGCCGCACAUGGAGAGGCGAUUGAAAUUUGCUGCCGACCCCGCGCUUGCCAAGGAGCCGACUUCGUCGGUGCUAGGCGCAGCCGAAGGAGCGCAGAAGAACGCGCCGACCGACGCGGUUGUCCGCACCACUUGUUCGGAGGAGCUGUUUCGUAGGGCGACGACACACCCGCUACCGUCGCUCACCUGCACAAGGCUCUCGGCGAUCUCCACGUGCAAGAGAUGAGCGAGCUCGGCGCUGAGCUCCGGCGAGUGACCUCCGUGGCCGCGAAGCCAGCGAAUAAGCAUCAACAUAGCGGAGAGCAAGAAGAUGCUGGCGCAGACCCGAGUUGGCUAUGUGUUGAAGGCGGAGGUCGCCGCCCGCCUGAAGGAUCCUAACGAGCGAGAAGUUGCUGCUGAAAAGGCAGCGAAGCACGUUUAGUCGGAUGUGGACGAGCUCACGGAGGUCUUGAACAACAAGGCUAAGGAGCUGGUGGAUAUGAUGGACGCCCACAAGGAAGCGCUUGGGGAAGCGUCAAUGGCGAAGGCUGACACACUCGCAGCCGCCGCUACUACGCAUGAGAAGUAGCUGGAGGCUCUGAGGAAGGCUCACGCGACUGCGCUCGAGCUAGAGCGAGAAUCUUCAAGCAGUACCAUCCUGGCGUUGCAGCAAGAGAAGACCACUUUCGAGACCUUCGUCUGCAAGAUGUCUCGGCAGCUUAUUGAUGGCGACUUCCAGGGAGUUCUUGUAGACUGCGACGAUCCGCGUCACCGAAUGCGCGGCGGAUAUUUUGGCGGUGUUGCAGUACCUGAGCCCGCGGGAGCGCAUUCCGCACGACGACUAGUCGGUCUUCUGGGUUGUCUCCAACGUUCCCGUUGUGGUGGAUUGGCUCCGGCGGUCAGCCUGCCGGGUCGACAUCACCAUAGAGUUUAGCAUGGUACUCGUCCACUACCCUCCACCGGUGGAAAAAGGGGCUUUGGUCGCGGUUCGCAACUGCCAUUAGUCGCGGUUGCGCAACCGCGAUCAAAGUAGCGCGACUAAAGGCCCCCCCUUUAGUCGCGGUUCCUCACGAACCGCGACUAAAGGCCCGUCCACGUGGGC
Molecule: non-coding RNA, 2350 nt
Organism: Lolium perenne
Lineage: Eukaryota; Viridiplantae; Streptophyta; Magnoliopsida; Poales; Poaceae
Source: RefSeq, a predicted model, not a curated record